GGAUUAGAUACCCUGGUAGUCCACGCUGUAAACGAUGUAUACUAGGUGUUGGCCGUUUGGUCAGUGCUGCAGUUAACGCAUUAAGUAUACCACCUGGGGAGUACGUCGGCAACGAUGAAACUCAAAGGAAUUGACGGGGGCCCGCACAAGCGGUGGAGCAUGUGGCUUAAUUCGAUGCAACGCGAAGAACCUUACCUGGGCUAAAUCCACGGCGCUACCUCUGGAAACAGAGGGUUUCUUCGGAACGCUGUGGAAGGUGCUGCAUGGCUGUCGUCAGCUCGUGCUG
RNAcentral lists this ribosomal RNA (286 nucleotides) under uncultured bacterium. RNAcentral describes it as "partial 16S ribosomal RNA". It matches the Rfam family "Bacterial small subunit ribosomal RNA", at positions 775 to 1067 of the family's 1533-position model. The record is from RNAcentral.